RNAcentral lists this ribosomal RNA (423 nucleotides) under uncultured bacterium. Its description in RNAcentral is "bacterial SSU rRNA". It matches the Rfam family "Bacterial small subunit ribosomal RNA", at positions 207 to 622 of the family's 1533-position model. The record is from RNAcentral.
AAGACCUUGCACUUUUGGAGCGGCCGAUGUCUGAUUAGCUAGUUGGUGGGGUAAUGGCCUACCAAAGCUUCGAUCAGUAGCUGGUCUGAGAGGACGGCCAGCCACACUGGGACUGAGACACGGCCCAGACUCCUACGGGAGGCAGCAGUGGGGAAUUUUGGACAAUGGGCGCAAGCCUGAUCCAGCCAUGCCGCGUGAGUGAAGAAGGCCUUCGGGUUGUAAAGCUCUUUCAGCCGGGAAGAAAAGGUUGCGACUAAUAAUCGCAAUCCAUGACGGUACCGAAAGAAGAAGCACCGGCUAACUACGUGCCAGCAGCCGCGGUAAUACGUAGGGUGCGAGCGUUAAUCGGAAUUACUGGGCGUAAAGGGUGCGCAGGCGGUUUUGUAAGUCAGAUGUGAAAUCCCCGGGCUUAACCUGGGAACU